GCCAUAUCAUUCACUCUUGUCCCUAUAAUUUCUUGGUAACUCACCAAAGCCCUGACCCGUUUUAAGUGUUUUAACCCUUGAUCACUGAUACCCUGUCCGACUGACGUAGGGCCCCGUAACGUAUGUCAAGGCUCUGCCUAAAUUCGUUGGGGUUCUGUCUCGUGACGUAGGGAUAAAGUAGAAUUGGGUUACUAUACUUAAUGUGGGUGCACUAUAUAUAUUUUAUUAAAUAAUCCAGGAAUUGUACCCAAAAAUAUAACAACCCUCCCGAAUAUUUUUCUGACACCCUACACUUCCUAAAAUACAUCCCGUAUGGGAAAACUAAACCCGAAAUAUAAUAUAGCAUUGAAAAUAAUGGGAAACCAGAAAAAGUAAGUUGAGGCGGGCCGCGUAGACCCACCCCAAACUUAACGCGGGCCGUGUGAGGGUGUAACUGGACUCCACUGAAUUCUUUAGUUCAUGCGGGCCGCGUAAGGCCACACCCUUAGUUUAUGCGGGCCGCGAGGGUCCCAAUUGGUGGCGCAGCCCGGUGAUGACACGUGUCAUCAUCAUGGCAAGGCUAGAUCAUGACCAGGACAAGCUAUACGUUGAUCUGGAGUCAACGCGGGCCGCGUAAGCCCAGCCCAUGUGUUACGCGGGCCGCGAGAAGACCAGUUUCAGCAACUAUAUAAGAAGGCCAUCGGGUUCAACCAGAAUUCGUUCAUUCUUCGUUUCUCAAUCUCAAUUUCUGAAUAGUAGGCUUUAUACACGGGUAUAAUACCCCCCUAAUUAGCGAAGCUCUGCCUCGUUGUAAGUAUCAUAACCCCUGGAUACGUAUUAGGUACUCUGCCCGAUUGAUCUAGGGUUCCGUAACGGCUGUCGUGGUUCUGCCCGACGUAGUCGUUGGAAUGCCGUCUCGGGGAGGAUUAUAACCAGAAAGUCACAAAGGAAAGCCCUAUAAUAGCAAUGUGAGUUGAUCCUUCUUUUUAUGUACUCAUUUUUGUGAGUAAUCCUCUUUUUGUUAACUGUUUUUACAAAACCUCACUUAAUUAAAUACAUACAAAGCAGUUAUUGAGUAUUUGUAAAGAAUACAAUUAUAGUGGAUAUGUUGGGGUUUUGUAUACAAAAUUGGUUACUGGCGUGGUAACAUCCCAUAAGUUGAGUAUGACCGUACCACUGAUGUUAAUUGUGAUGUCUUGGAUACAAAUGUAAUUGCGGAUGUGCCCUCAAUACUGCAAAUUGGUUUUAUUUAAAACUGAUUAAACUGGGAUUCACUCACCAGUAUUUCCUGCUGAUAAAAUGUUUUAAACACGUGUUUCAGGUAACUUAGUGUGAAGCCAAUAAAAGCCAGCUGGAGAGCACUGAAGGCUUGGAAAAGUGGCUAUAAAGUUACCUAAAAUAAAAUAGCUGUUUUUAUUAAUAAAAAUAGGAUUUAUUCCUAUGAAAGCGUGUAUACUGAAAACUUGGGUUUUACCCAUGUGUUUAAUAUUAUGAAAAUGUGGUGGUUUUACUCUGAUAAAAAUAUUUCCUAACUACGGUCCUGAUGAAAAAAAUUCCGCUGCCAAAUUAGACAAUACGCGAUACCACCGAAACUGGCUCACGGCCGCCCGUUCCUGAGGGAUCGGGGGUUGUGACAGAAGGUGGUAUCAGAGCUAUGCCACUGGUUCAAGCCAAAGAAGUGUUCUGCUGACACUUAAGUUUUAAAUUCUGUGUUAGGAAAUUAAUAUAACAAUUUAUGUGUUAUUCUGUGUAGAUAAAUCUUAAUAUUUAUAUUAUGAUUUUUAUGUUUUGAGUUCAGAGUAUGAGUAACCAAUAUGACUAGACGUACCCAUAGCCUACAUAGGCAGAUGUAUUAUACUACACUCUUAUACAAUUAGUAACUUAAGGUAUCACCUUGAGUUAGAUCUCUUCUUAAAUAAAUGAAUGUACCGUAAUAUAUAUAUAUAUGUAUAUGCUACUAUCUGUAUAUUCACCUUACUAGGAAAUAUUAAUACACGUUCAUUUUGUAAAAAUAUUCAUAGAUCAUGGGUAUAAAUUUUAGAUAUUAAAUCUAAAAUCAUAAUUUAUGGUAAAUUUACAUAAGAAAUCGAAUAACAUUAUGUAUCCACCUUGAAUAAAUAAAAGUAUGUUAUUUUAAGUUGAUUCAUAGACUUCAUGAUCUAUACCAUGAUCUAUCCUUAUAAAUGGUGGUAUAGAUUAUGGUAAAUUUCUGAAUUGACCUUAAAUCCAGAAAUCAUGUUAAUAUACAAUAUUAAUUGUAUGUAAAAUAAUAUACAUGUUGUAGUAUAGUACGUUUAUAAUAAACAUACGUUAUA
RNAcentral lists this long non-coding RNA (2294 nucleotides) under Helianthus annuus (common sunflower). RNAcentral's name for it is "hypothetical non coding rna". Lineage: Eukaryota; Viridiplantae; Streptophyta; Magnoliopsida; Asterales; Asteraceae. The record is from RNAcentral.